RNAcentral lists this transfer RNA (72 nucleotides) under Camelus dromedarius (Arabian camel). It matches the Rfam family "tRNA". Rfam says of the family: Transfer RNA (tRNA) molecules are approximately 80 nucleotides in length. Their secondary structure includes four short double-helical elements and three loops (D, anti-codon, and T loops). Further hydrogen bonds mediate the characteristic L-shaped molecular structure. tRNAs have two regions of fundamental functional importance: the anti-codon, which is responsible for specific mRNA codon recognition, and the 3' end, to which the tRNAs corresponding amino acid is attached (by aminoacyl-tRNA synthetases). tRNAs cope with the degeneracy of the genetic code in two manners: having more than one tRNA (with a specific anti-codon) for a particular amino acid; and 'wobble' base-pairing, i.e. permitting non-standard base-pairing at the 3rd anti-codon position. RNAcentral also lists the same sequence under 1 other name. The record is from Rfam by way of RNAcentral. Lineage: Eukaryota; Metazoa; Chordata; Mammalia; Artiodactyla; Camelidae.
AGGGGUAUAGUUCAGCGGUAGAGCAUGUGCUUGGAAUGCGUGAGGUCCUGGGUUCAAUCCCCAGUACCUCCA